CUCCGGGAAACCGGGGCUAAUACCGGAUGGUUGUCUGAACCGCAUGGUUCAGACAUAAAAGGUGGCUUCGGCUACCACUUACAGAUGGACCCGCGGCGCAUUAGCUAGUUGGUGAGGUAACGGCUCACCAAGGCGACGAUGCGUAGCCGACCUGAGAGGGUGAUCGGCCACACUGGGACUGAGACACGGCCCAGACUCCUACGGGAGGCAGCAGUAGGGAAUCUUCCGCAAUGGACGAAAGUCUGACGGAGCAACGCCGCGUGAGUGAUGAAGGUUUUCGGAUCGUAAAGCUCUGUUGUUAGGGAAGAACAAGUGCCGUUCAAAUAGGGCGGCACCUUGACGGUACCUAACCAGAAAGCCACGGCUAACUACGUGCCAGCAGCCGCGGUAAUACGUAGGUGGCAAGCGUUGUCCGGAAUUAUUGGGCGUAAAGGGCUCGCAGGCGGUUUCUUAAGUCUGAUGUGAAAGCCCCCGGCUCAACCGGGGAGGGUCAUUGGAAACUGGGGAACUUGAGUGCAGAAGAGGAGAGUGGAAUUCCACGUGUAGCGGUGAAAUGCGUAGAGAUGUGGAGGAACACCAGUGGCGAAGGCGACUCUCUGGUCUGUAACUGACGCUGAGGAGCGAAAGCGUGGGGAGCGAACAGGAUUAGAUACCCUGGUAGUCCACGCCGUAAACGAUGAGUGCUAAGUGUUAGGGGGUUUCCGCCCCUUAGUGCUGCAGCUAACGCAUUAAGCACUCCGCCUGGGGAGUACGGUCGCAAGACUGAAACUCAAAGGAAUUGACGGGGGCCCGCACAAGCGGUGGAGCAUGUGGUUUAAUUCGAAGCAACGCGAAGAACCUUACCAGGUCUUGACAUCCUCUGACAAUCCUAGAGAUAGGACGUCCCCUUCGGGGGCAGAGUGACAGGUGGUGCAUGGUUGUCGUCAGCUCGUGUCGUGAGAUGUUGGGUUAAGUCCCGCAACGAGCGCAACCCUUGAUCUUAGUUGCCAGCAUUCAGUUGGGCACUCUAAGGUGACUGCCGGUGACAAACCGGAGGAAGGUGGGGAUGACGUCAAAUCAUCAUGCCCCUUAUGACCUGGGCUACACACGUGCUACAAUGGACAGAACAAAGGGCAGCGAAACCGCGAGGUUAAGCCAAUCCCACAAAUCUGUUCUCAGUUCGGAUCGCAGUCUGCAACUCGACUGCGUGAAGCUGGAAUCGCUAGUAAUCGCGGAUCAGCAUGCCGCGGUAAUACGUUCCCGGGCCUU
Molecule: ribosomal RNA, 1248 nt
Filed under: Bacillus subtilis
Lineage: Bacteria; Bacillati; Bacillota; Bacilli; Caryophanales; Bacillaceae
Description: bacterial SSU rRNA
Rfam family: Bacterial small subunit ribosomal RNA
Source: RNAcentral